UACAGAGGGGGCGAGCGUUGUUCGGAAUUACUGGGCGUAAAGGGCGCGUAGGCGGCUUCUUAAGUCAGGGGUGAAAUCCUGGAGCUCAACUCCAGAACUGCCUUUGAUACUGAGGAGCUCGAGUCCGGGAGAGGUGAGUGGAACUCCGAGUGUAGAGGUGAAAUUCGUAGAUAUUCGGAAGAACACCAGUGGCGAAGGCGGCUCACUGGCCCGGUACUGACGCUGAGGUGCGAAAGCGUGGGGAGCAAAC
RNAcentral lists this ribosomal RNA (250 nucleotides) under uncultured bacterium. Its description in RNAcentral is "partial 16S ribosomal RNA". It matches the Rfam family "Bacterial small subunit ribosomal RNA", at positions 524 to 773 of the family's 1533-position model. The record is from RNAcentral.